This 59-nucleotide transfer RNA is filed under the name Rhinebothrium flexile. Its description in RNAcentral is "tRNA-Ser". The record is from RNAcentral. Lineage: Eukaryota; Metazoa; Platyhelminthes; Cestoda; Rhinebothriidea; Rhinebothriidae.
AGGGGAAACAAUAAAGUUACUGCUAAUAAUUUUUUGUCAGUUAAUUCUGACUUCUCCUU